AAAUGAACACCUAUCCCUGGAAAUGAUCAGCAACAGUACAAUCCUCUAGGCCAGUAUUCACUGCAAGGACCACUGAUAGCAAUGAAUUGGGCUGAUUCUUCAAGCCACUGAUAAUACAACAGAAAAUGACAGUACUAAGUGUGGUAAGGCGGGAGCAGACAACAGGAGAUUACAGGAAGAACAUAGUGCGCAUCCAACAUCUAGGCCUGCAUCUCAACAACUGCCCUAUUGCACAGCAGCAGUAGGAACAUUAGGGAGUGCUCUUGCAGGAGAAGAAAAUACAGAACAACCAAACUGCUUUGUGCUGGAUCCCAAAUAGAUGUGCAUUUCUGAGGAGCAUCACUUUAAAGUCAAGUUAACCUUGGACCAAACAUUAACAGUUGAAUUAUUCACACUUCUGCAGGUGAGGAAG
This is a long non-coding RNA of Pezoporus occidentalis (night parrot), 412 nucleotides long. RefSeq lists it as uncharacterized. NCBI's taxonomy places the organism in Eukaryota, Metazoa, Chordata, Aves, Psittaciformes, Psittacidae. The record is from RefSeq and is a predicted model, not a curated record. The transcript is spliced from 4 exons.